Molecule: ribosomal RNA, 253 nt
Filed under: uncultured bacterium
Lineage: Bacteria
Description: partial 16S ribosomal RNA
Rfam family: Bacterial small subunit ribosomal RNA
Source: RNAcentral
UACGGAGGGUGCAAGCGUUAUCCGGAUUCACUGGGUUUAAAGGGUGCGUAGGCGGGUUGGUAAGUCAGUGGUGAAAUCUCCGAGCUUAACUUGGAAACUGCCGUUGAUACUAUCUGUCUUGAAUAUUGUGGAGGUGAGCGGAAUAUGUCAUGUAGCGGUGAAAUGCUUAGAUAUGACAUAGAACACCAAUUGCGAAGGCAGCUCGCUACACAUAUAUUGACUCUGAGGCACGAAAGCGUGGGGAUCAAACAGG